CAGUCGCCGCGGUAAAACGAGGGGUGCAAGCGUUAUUCGGAUUGAUUGGGUGUAAAGGGUGUGCAGACGGCUUAUUAAGUCACUUGUUAAAUUCUUCGGCCUAACUGAAGGUCUGCAAGUGAUACUGAUGAGCUAGAGGGUGGAAGAGAGAAGUGGAAUUCUCGGAGUAGCGGUAAAAUGCGUAGAUCUCAAGAGGAACACCAACGGCGAAAGCACUCUGCUGGGCCGACACUGGCACUGAGAGACGAAAGCUAGGGGAGCAAAUGGGAUUAGAUACCCGCGUAGUCCCUGUCUCUUAUAA
RNAcentral lists this ribosomal RNA (301 nucleotides) under uncultured bacterium. RNAcentral's name for it is "partial 16S ribosomal RNA". It matches the Rfam family "Bacterial small subunit ribosomal RNA", at positions 509 to 809 of the family's 1533-position model. The record is from RNAcentral.